This 1150-nucleotide ribosomal RNA is filed under the name uncultured methanogenic archaeon. RNAcentral's name for it is "bacterial SSU rRNA". It matches the Rfam family "Archaeal small subunit ribosomal RNA", at positions 123 to 1271 of the family's 1478-position model. The record is from RNAcentral. Lineage: Archaea; Methanobacteriati; Methanobacteriota.
GGCAUAACCUCGGGAAACUGGGGAUAAUACCGGAUAACGCAUAUAUGCUGGAAUUCUUUAUGCGUGAAACGGAUUCGUCUGCCCAAGGAUGGGUCUGCGGCCUAUCAGGUAGUAGUGGGUGUAAUGUACCUACUAGCCGACGACGGGUACGGGUUGUGAGAGCAAGAGCCCGGAGAUGGAUUCUGAGACAUGAAUCCAGGCCCUACGGGGCGCAGCAGGCGCGAAAACUUUACAAUGCGGGAAACCGUGAUAAGGGGACACCGAGUGCCAGCAUCAUAUGCUGGCUGUCCGGGUGUGUAAAAUACACCUGUUAGCAAGGGCCGGGCAAGACCGGUGCCAGCCGCCGCGGUAACACCGGCGGCCCGAGUGGUGAUCGUGAUUAUUGGGUCUAAAGGGUCCGUAGCCGGUUUGGUCAGUCCUCCGGGAAAUCUGACGGCUUAACCGUUAGGCUUUCGGGGGAUACUGCCAGACUUGGAACCGGGAGAGGUAAGAGGUACUACAGGGGUAGGAGUGAAAUCUUGUAAUCCCUGUGGGACCACCUGUGGCGAAGGCGUCUUACCAGAACGGGUUCGACGGUGAGGGACGAAAGCUGGGGGCACGAACCGGAUUAGAUACCCGGGUAGUCCCAGCCGUAAACGAUGCUCGCUAGGUGUCAGGCAUGGCGCGACCGUGUCUGGUGCCGCAGGGAAGCCGUGAAGCGAGCCACCUGGGAAGUACGGCCGCAAGGCUGAAACUUAAAGGAAUUGGCGGGGGAGCACAACAACGGGUGGAGCCUGCGGUUUAAUUUGACUCAACGCCGGACAACUCACCGGGGGCGACAGCAAUAUGUAGGUCAGGCUGAAGACCUUGCCUGAAUCGCUGAGAGGAGGUGCAUGGCCGUCGCCAGUUCGUACUGUGAAGCAUCCUGUUAAGUCAGGCAACGAGCGAGACCCGUGCCCACUGUUACCAGCAUGUCCUCCGGGACGAUGGGUACUCUGUGGGGACCGCCGGUGUUAAAUCGGAGGAAGGUGCGGGCCACGGUAGGUCAGUAUGCCCCGAAUCUCCCGGGCUACACGCGGGCUACAAUGGAUGGGACAAUGGGUCCCUACCCUGAAAAGGGUUGGUAAUCUCACAAACCCAUUCUUAGUUCGGAUCGAGGGCUGUAACUCGC